RNAcentral lists this small nuclear RNA (107 nucleotides) under Moschus moschiferus (Siberian musk deer). Lineage: Eukaryota; Metazoa; Chordata; Mammalia; Artiodactyla; Moschidae. The record is from RNAcentral.
GUGCUCACUUUGGCAGCACAUACAUUCACAGUGGAACAAUACAGAGGAGAUUAGCAUGGCCCCUGAGCAAGGAUGACACGGAAGUCCGUGAAGUGUUCCAUAUUUAA